This 460-nucleotide ribosomal RNA is filed under the name uncultured bacterium. RNAcentral describes it as "partial 16S ribosomal RNA". It matches the Rfam family "Bacterial small subunit ribosomal RNA", at positions 338 to 795 of the family's 1533-position model. The record is from RNAcentral.
CCUACGGGUGGCAGCAGUGAGGAAUAUUGGUCAUUGGACGAGAGUCUGAACCAGCAAAGUAGCGUGAAGGAUGACUGCCCUUUGGGUUGUAAACUUCUUUUAUAUGGGACUAAAAUGUUCCACGUGUGGGGUUUUGUAUGUACCAUAUGAAUAAGGAUCGGUUAACUCCGUGCCAGCGGCCGCGGUAAUAUGGAGGAUCCGAGCGUUUUCCGGAUUUAUUUGGUUUAAAGGGAGCGUAGGUGGGUUGUUAAGUCAGUUGUGAAAGUUUGCGGCUCAACCGUAAAAUUGCAGUUGAAACUGGCAGUCUUGAGUACAGUAGAGGUGGGCGGAAUUCGUGGUGUAGCGGUGAAAUGCUUAGAUAUCACGAAGAACUCCGAUUGCGAAGGCAGCUCACUGGACUGCAACUGACACUGAGGCUCGAAAGUGUGGGUAUCAAACAGGAUUAGAUACCCGGGUAGUC